RNAcentral lists this long non-coding RNA (856 nucleotides) under Marmota monax (woodchuck). Lineage: Eukaryota; Metazoa; Chordata; Mammalia; Rodentia; Sciuridae. The record is from RNAcentral.
AGUCCCCGGCCUGGAAACUAAAAGGUUUUGAUGUGUGUGCAUGCAAGGGUUGACUUAGCAGAUCCCACGUGGUCAAGCCAUGCAUGUUCCAAAAAGAGGUCUGGCUCUGAGCCAGCUCCUGGGAUAUGCCUCUAUGCCCUUGGAAUGUCCUGCCUGAUACAGGUGCCUGUGCUUACCUGGGUGGGGCCUUGGGUCACACCACAUAGUUUAUGCUAAUCGGGAGUUAUGAUGGGGCAUUGCACCUGGCGGCAUCAACCUAACUUCUCAGAGACUGGAAAACAAGUAAUUGCAGCCAGAUGGGUUCACCAUGCUCCUGUGACUAACCCAUCCUAAGAACCGUGAACCCUAGGUGUCUUGGCUUCCUAGUUGACAAUAUUCCAUAUCAGUGCUGCAUCAUUUUGGGAGGAUUAAAUAUUAUUCAUGAUACUCCUCUGAGUGAUGACAAAUUAGAGCUUGCUCCUGGUUUCUCUCAGACUCUUUCCUAAAUGCUUCUUACCUUUGCAGAUUUUAAGCCAUUUCUUUUGCUGCAAUAAACUGAAACUGUCAGUGUAAGCAUUUUUCCAAGUUUCUUGUAGUCACUGACCUGGACAGUGGUCUCUAGCACUCUGACACAACAAUUUAAAGUCUUAUUAAAUUUAAUUUGUAUAUAUAGAGAGACCCAGCUAUACCACUCCUUGGUAUUUAUCUUAAAGAAUUAAUCAUACUAUAGUGAUACAUGCAUAGCCAUGUUUAUACUAGCACAAUUCACAAUAUCCAAACUAUGGAACCAAUCUAAGUGUCCAUCAACAGAUUUAUGGAUAAAGAAAAUAUGGCACAAACACAUACACAUACCCACACACAAUGGAGUUUUAUUCAG